Molecule: ribosomal RNA, 253 nt
Filed under: uncultured bacterium
Lineage: Bacteria
Description: partial 16S ribosomal RNA
Rfam family: Bacterial small subunit ribosomal RNA
Source: RNAcentral
UACGUAGGGGGCGAGCGUUAUCCGGAAUUACUGGGCGUAAAGCGCACGCAGGCGGUUCGCCAAGUUUGGAGUGACAGUUGUCGGCUCAACCGACAAAGGACUUCAAAAACUGGUGAACUUGAGGACGAGAGAGGAACAUGGAACUCCAGGUGUAGUAGUGAAAUGCGUAGAUAUCUGGAAGAACACCCAUGGCGAAGGCAAUGUUCUGGCUCGUUUCUGACGCUCAGGUGCGAAAGCCAGGGGAGCGAACGGG